Molecule: long non-coding RNA, 1531 nt
Organism: Humulus lupulus (European hop)
Lineage: Eukaryota; Viridiplantae; Streptophyta; Magnoliopsida; Rosales; Cannabaceae
Exons: 5
Source: RefSeq, a predicted model, not a curated record
CAAAAAAAUCAACCCAACCCCAUUAUUCUUUCCCUAUAGCUCUCACUCUUGUGUGUGUGACUUGACUACCUAGCACCAUUCUUUAACCCAGCUUUCAUUCCGUCUGCGUGCGACUCCAAUGAAUGACUCUUCUCCCAUCGGUGUGACUGCUCAGCCCACUACGACAACCAAACUCUUAACCAAUGACAUAGUCACCUCUCUUAACACCAUAUCUAUUUUUUCUUUUUUGAAAUCAUUUUCACAGGAAAACUCAAUUUUGUUCGCUGUUAAAGAUUUGCUCUUAUUUGUAUCGGAUCUGCUCUGGUCUUCUUCGCCAUUGAAGACCUGCAUUUCACAAAGUGCAAGCUCAACUCGGUGUGGAAGCUUUUUCUGAUACCCAACUUGUUCCCAAGAUACUUGCUGAGAACUCUGGUCUAGAACACAAGAUGCGAUCAUAGCACAUAUGGUAAAAAGUGGAUCAGUGAGCGCUAGAGUUUAUCUGCGAAGAUGUACAUGUGGACUGACCUUUUGAGAAUUUUAUGUUUUGGGGACUAGAACCCAUAUGAUAAUUAAGAAUUUAUUUUGGGCUUGUUGAAUGUUUUUAAAUUAUGACACUGUAAUUCAUUUUUAAGUAUGCGCAUACUUCCAACUAUUGAAUGUUUUGAAAAAUAUUUUUUUUAUAUGGAUUUUCGGUUACCUUAUUUUUGGCAAAUGAUUAUGUUUUUCCGCAAAUUAUGUUAAGAAAUUUUAUGAGAUGUUACAAUUGGUAUCAAAGCACCAGGCUAAACAAGUUCUGUAGACAAACCCACAUGUACAUUCGCAAAGAUAGACUGACACUCACUGGAACCUAUCCAUGCUCUCUACGCCCAGGAUUGAUUAUUAUACUCUUUAAUGAUGAGAGUCCUCAACGCUUCGAGUACGAUCAACAACAUCAGCGUGUCAUUUGGAAAUGGACACAUUACAUGACAGAAGUCUAUGAUAGGGCGAACACACCUGAUCGACUGAGAGUGCGAUAUGCCAGCACUUGUUUGAGAGGCUCGACACUGAUAUGGUUCCAUCACAGAUGUAGGCGGCUGGUUCGGGAGACGUGGGAUGACUUUCAUAUGAAGAUCGAGCUAGCCUUUGGGCCAUGGAUUUGCCUAUCUCCAUGGUUGAUAGCAUACCUCGAGGCAGGGCGGUAGAACCAGAAGAAAAUCCCGAAGAAGAUCCCAAGGAGGAACCGACUGAGGGCCAGGAACAUGAGGCAGCUGGGAAUGGCAUUGUUUAGGAAGUACCUGAGAGUUCAUAUGAGGAUUUAGACGGGGACAUGCGGGUCGAUUAGGAUAGUGAUCGUUUGUUUUAUUAUCUUUUGUAAAAAACACUAUGAUUUUCAAAUUUCACUGUUUUGUAUUUCUUUUUGAUUAAGGGUCCUAUGCUAGAAACCCUGAGCCCCGACUAAGGUUAGAUUCCCUUCCUAUUUACUUUUAUAAACACUUUAAGACUUUGCAUUGACUGUUUAUGUUAUGGUUUGAUAUGUUUAAAUGCAAUCUUUUGUCUAAGGGAUGAGUUCUGU